Megalobrama amblycephala (Wuchang bream) is the source of this 634-nucleotide non-coding RNA. Lineage: Eukaryota; Metazoa; Chordata; Actinopteri; Cypriniformes; Xenocyprididae. The record is from the annotation of a RefSeq genome assembly.
GUACAACUUUAUCAAAGAGAGGCUGAAACAAGAGUCUGCUGUAGAUUUCAACAAGUUCAUUUUAUCUAAAGUAUUAUUUAACAAUUUCUGUGAUGGCAAACUGGCAAAGAAUUGCAGUCUUCUUGAUCACAUAUUUCUGGGGAUGUGAUUCUCUGGACAGAGUUGAACAAAAUCAGAGAGUUCAAACUGCUGUUGAAGGUGCAGCUGUAACAAUCAACUGUCAAUAUGAAUCCACUAAUGUUUCACCAAAUCUUUUCUGGUACCAGCAAAAAGUGAAUGGAUUUCCAGAAUACAUGCUGGGCAGAUUUGGUACGAAUGAUAAGCAGUUCGAAGAUAGAUUUAGCAGCGAUCUCGACACAACUACAAAAUCAUUUUCACUGACAAUCCAGGAUCUGGAUGUGUCAGACUCUGCUCUGUAUUACUGUGCUCUGAGGCCCACAGUCACAGGAAACACAAGAACACUGUACAAAAACCUGAUACAGCUGAAGGUGUUCAACUAAUUUCCUUCCAUAAAAAUCUAUUUGAAUUAAAGUUAGAUUAUGAAUUCAUAAAUGAUAAAUAUAUGAAGGUGAAAACUAUAGUUGCAGCAGUUGUAUGAUAAAGUAUGCCUUUCUUUCUGGACACUAAUAAUGAU